This 2670-nucleotide long non-coding RNA is filed under the name Equus asinus (donkey). Its description in RNAcentral is "lncRNA (ENSEASG00005030861.1)". Lineage: Eukaryota; Metazoa; Chordata; Mammalia; Perissodactyla; Equidae. The record is from RNAcentral.
GCCACUGCAUUGUACAGUAAAAAAUGGUUAAAAUGGUAAAUUUUAUGUUCUGUAUGUUUUGCCAUAGUAAAGAAAAACUUAUUCUAUGCAUUCAGCAAAUGCUGGUUCCUUCCCUGUUUUUGUGAGUGAAUUCGCAUCUCUGGAUCAUCCACUGUUCGGCUUUGUUGAAUAAUAGACACACAGAAAAGUGCAUCUCCUCCAAAAGCCCCCUUGCUCAGGACGCUCCCACCACCCUGGCUUCCUGUGAGUGUCUCAAAUGAGAACUCCUCAAGCACCUGGAACCACUCCCUGCUUUGCACGGCUCAUUCCACCUCUAAUUUCAGAUCUUAGCUUCAGCUCCAGAGGGAUGCCUUCCUGGACCAUGCUUCCUAAAACAGGGCUCUCAAAAGCUAGUUCUUUCCUUCACAGCAUUCACCACCAUUUGGUCAUUAUUACUGUCUUAUCCGACAGAUCAGAUUUGCCCCCAAAGAGAAAUGAUGAUAACAGUAAUAAUAAUAAAUACCAUUGUUAAGUUGCCUGGCACUCCAAGUGCUUAGGCACAUCCCUCCUGUAUUCCUCACCUUAUCCUAUUCAUUCGUUUGUCAAAGAGUUGUGAAGACUUCAAAGGGUUCCAGGCUCUGGGGAUACCACAAAGAGAAAAUGAGCCCACCCCACACUCUCAUGCAACCUGCAUUCUGCUGAGAAUUGAGAGAGGCUAAGAAUAACAAUCACACAAGUAACUAAGACAAUUUCAGCGAGGGUUAAGAGCUGUGAGAAGGACAGAAGGCAGUGACAUGAUAGAAAGUGACUGGGAACAAAGAACUGAGGCUGGGGCCCAGAACAGGCUCUCCGAGGAGGAGAUCAUUGACAGAGACCUGGACACUGAGAAAGAGCCAACUACACCAAGAUCUGGGAGGCAAGCUUUUCGGGCAGUGAAAAAAGCAAGUCAGCAGCAGCCCUACGAGUGAGUUUGGUGUGUUCAAAGAACUGGAAGGAGGCCGGUGAGCAGGAGCGAGAGCUGGAUACAGCUGGAGGGGAGAUGCACCUGCGGAAUGUGGCAAGGGCAGUUCCAGGCUUGUCCAGCCUGCCCGUCUGGGUCCUGCCCCAUGACUCACCUUACAACAGGUAGCUGCUCUUCCCUUCCCUUGGGAAAAAUGUCACAGAGGCAGAGGGUACUUUGGAGCAGUGGAAAAGGGGAGACUUUUGGAAAACAGUUGCUCAACCUUAAGAGCAUGGCUUGAUCCGUGGUAUAUAGAUCUACGACUGGGCUCUGAACCUGCGAACCCUGGGCCCCUGAGGCGGAGCAUGCCAACUCAACUGUCGGGCCUGACCCUAUAUGUGUUCUUAGAUUUCUACUACUCCUAACCUCAAAGGAACUUGAGGUACUGUGACGAGGAGUAAACACAUAAUAUCCCAGUUUCAUGCAAUGGAAGCAGCAACAGAAACAGGAAGUAAACCAGAAGAAUUUAAAAGCAAGCAAGCAAAUAAACAUGUUCCAAGCAAAAGCAAGAAAAGUUUUUGUAGAAAUGAUAGUAGUCGAAAGCCUAGACAUGAUACGAAGAGGUGGGCAGAGCAAGCUGCCAUGUUGUGAAUAGUCUUAUGGGGAGACCACAAUGGAGGAAACUGAUAAAUCUGGCUGUUGUGGGUUGAAUUGUGUCUCCCAAAGAGACAUGUUGAAGUCUUAACCCUUCUGGUACCUCUGAAUGUGACCUUAUUUGCACAUAGGUUCUUUACAGAUGCCAUCAAGUUAAAAUGGGGUCAUACUAGAUUAGGGCCAACCCUAAUCCAACGACUUGGGUCCUUAUAAGCAGCAGAUUUGGACACAGAGAUACAGAGGGAAGGAUGCCACUUUAAGGCAGAGCCAGAAAUUGAAGUGAUGCAACUGCAAGCUAAGGAAGGCCAGGGAUGGCCGGCAACCUCUAGAAGCUAGGAGAAAGGCAAGGAAAGAUUCUCCCUUAGGGGCUCCAGAGAGAUUGUGGCCCUGCCCACAUCUGGAUUUUGGACUUCUAGGCUUCAUAACUGUGAGAGAAUUUAUUGCUGUUUUGUAAAAGCCAUGCAGUUUGUGGUAAUUUGUUAUGGUAGCCCCACGAAACGAAUACACUAGCCAACCACCAGCGAGUUCCUAAGGUCUGCCAACAGCCAUGUAAAUGAGCUUGCAAGAGGAUCUUCUGAGGCCUGCCAACAGCCGGGCUGAGUGAGCGUGGAAGCGGAUCCUCCCCCAGCCAAGCCUUGAGAGGACUGCAGCCCCAAGUGACACCUUGAUUUCAUUCUUCUGAAGACCUGGAGCCAGACUUGCCUAGCAAAGCCCCUCUGAGAUUUCCGACCCACAAAAACUGGGAGCUGUCUUGCAGGGGCAGUGAGUCAAAAUGGUAAGUCAUGUAGCCGGAGUAUGCAUGGAGGAGAAAAUUUUGACCCGAAAUAACACCUGGAACCAAAGAUUCCCCCUCUCCUCAUGGAACCAAGGGACUGGGACAUGACUGGAACUCAAAAGCGAGGACCUUGUCGGAAGUAAGGAGUCUGUUGUCCAGGAAGAUCUGGUGUUAAAGCCCCUUUUCAUACCUUACCAUCAAUGGUCUUGUUCAAAGCCCUUCCAGUCAAAAUCUGGGCUGCCAGCACUUCCAAAUACCAGCCUGCCAUCCCUAAUCCCUUAAAUUUAACCCCAAACUCUGGAUUGGGGAGACAGAUUUGAGA